AAGAAGCAGAAAUCGGAGCGAGAAAGUGAGAGAAAAUUAGAAGUAAACUCUGACAAAAAUUCAACUUAUUUAUUGACAAUUUACGAAGAUUCUUCUGUGGUAGCUGGUAGUGACUCCGCUUGUUUGUUAUUUUUCUGCUCUAUUGUUCUUGUUGAGUGGCUAUCUACCGAAUCAAAAACCCUAGGUACAUUUCAUUAUCUGCUUCUCCAGAUCUUCAACCGACUCUCAAUUCUUGAGUUAACUCCUUGAUCUAAUCAAUCACCGUACGGCG
This 271-nucleotide unclassified non-coding RNA is filed under the name Hevea brasiliensis (rubber tree). Lineage: Eukaryota; Viridiplantae; Streptophyta; Magnoliopsida; Malpighiales; Euphorbiaceae. The record is from RNAcentral.